RNAcentral lists this ribosomal RNA (484 nucleotides) under uncultured bacterium. RNAcentral's name for it is "bacterial SSU rRNA". It matches the Rfam family "Bacterial small subunit ribosomal RNA", at positions 15 to 518 of the family's 1533-position model. The record is from RNAcentral.
GAUCUGGUUCAGGACGAACGCUGGCGGCGUGCCUAACACAUGCAAGUCGAGCGAGGAGAUCCUUCGGGAUGAUCCUAGCGGCGGACGGGUGAGUAACACGUGGGCAACCUGCCUCAUAGAGAGGAAUAGCCUUCCGAAAGGGAGAUUAAUACCUCAUAACAUUGCAGUUUCGCAUGGAACAGCAAUUAAAGGAGCAAUCCACUAUGAGAUGGGCCCGCGGCGCAUUAGCUAGUUGGUGAGGUAACGGCUCACCAAGGCGACGAUGCGUAGCCGACCUGAGAGGGUGAUCGGCCACAUUGGGACUGAGACACGGCCCAGACUCCUACGGGAGGCAGCAGUGGGGAAUAUUGCACAAUGGGGGAAACCCUGAUGCAGCAACGCCGCGUGAGUGAUGACGGCCUUCGGGUUGUAAAGCUCUGUCUUCAGGGACGAUAAUGACGGUACCUGAGGAGGAAGCCACGGCUAACUACGUGCCAGCCGCGGC